Daphnia pulex (common water flea) is the source of this 484-nucleotide long non-coding RNA. RefSeq lists it as uncharacterized. Lineage: Eukaryota; Metazoa; Arthropoda; Branchiopoda; Diplostraca; Daphniidae. The transcript is spliced from 5 exons. The record is from RefSeq and is a predicted model, not a curated record.
UAUAGUGGAAUACAAAUAUGCCGAGUUAAGGACUUUUCUGAAUCUCGCAAUUUUAGCUGUCAAAACCUAAAACUCAUGUUUGCAGCAUGUUUGAAGCUCACAUAUAGUUGAAUACAAAUCUGCCGAGUUAAGGUAUUUACCCAUUCCCACCUGGAACAUCAUGUUUGCUGUGAUGGCUGUUUCUACUUCUGUUUAGAAGGCAUCCCAGCUGAGAGAUAGAGUUUCAGUGACUUGAAGAGUCUGAUGUGAAUAAUGCCGUGUGUAUGCAUACAUGUUCCAGUUCUGGUUGACGCCUUACUAAAUUCAUCACCCAUAUGAUAGCAUCAGGAAAUAUAUCUCAACAUGAGGAGUAAGACUGUUUGUUCCUGUGAUUUCCAUUUUUACGGUUUUUUCAUCAUGAAAAUUGAAGUGUGCUUCUUAGAAAUGAGCACACAGUUUCUUUAUGGAAUCGUGUGGUCCUGGCACGGAGAUUCUUGUGCCAAUG